RNAcentral lists this ribosomal RNA (495 nucleotides) under uncultured bacterium. RNAcentral describes it as "partial 16S ribosomal RNA". It matches the Rfam family "Bacterial small subunit ribosomal RNA", at positions 28 to 507 of the family's 1533-position model. The record is from RNAcentral.
GACGAACGCUGGCGGCGUGCCUAAUACAUGCAAGUAGAACGCUGAAGGCGGAGCUUGCUUCUCUGGAUGAGUUGCGAACGGGUGAGUAACGCGUAGGUAACCUGCCUGGUAGCGGGGGAUAACUAUUGGAAACGAUAGCUAAUACCGCAUAAGAGUAGAUGUUGCAUGACAUUUGCUUAAAAGGUGCAAUUGCAUCACUACUAGAUGGACCUGCGUUGUAUGAGCUAGUGGGUGGGGUAACGGCUCACCAAGGCGACGGUACAUAGCCGACCUGCGAGGGGGCGCUGCAACGCUGGGACGGGGACACGGCCCGCACCCCUGGGGGAGGCAGCCGUCCGGGACCUUUGGCAAUGGACGGAAGUCGGACCGAGCGACGCCGCGUGAGUGACGAAGGUUUUCGUGUCGUGAAGGUCAGUUAUGAGUGAAGAACGUGUGUCAGUGUUGAAAGUUCACACAGUGACGGUACCUGAAGAGAAAGAGCCGGCUAACUCCGUG